Long non-coding RNA from Ostrea edulis (European flat oyster), 176 nucleotides. RefSeq lists it as uncharacterized. NCBI's taxonomy places the organism in Eukaryota, Metazoa, Mollusca, Bivalvia, Ostreida, Ostreidae. The transcript is spliced from 3 exons. The record is from RefSeq and is a predicted model, not a curated record.
AGAAGUUGGUGAAAAUAUAUGACAGAUAUUUGACUGUUGACUGAUCAUUUCUUUAACAAGUCAAUCUCCAUGGACAUGUUUUGUUAAAUGAGGGAUUAUUGCCACAUCACUUAUUCCCAUAGAAUGAUUCUGGCAAUAAAAUGGAGGUGAUUGACAUCCAAGAACCCAUACAGGAC